GAUGAAGAACGUAGCGAAAUGCGAUAAGUAAUGUGAAUUGCAGAAUUCAGUGAAUCAUCGAAUCUUUGAACGCACCUUGCGCUCCUUGGUAUUCCGAGGAGCAUGCCUGUUUGAGUGUCAUGAAAUUCUCAACCUUUUCAGCUUUCUUUGUUGAUCAGGCUUGGAUGUGGGAGUAUGCGGGCUUCUCAGAAGUCGGCUCUCCUGAAAUGCAUUAGCGGGACCUUUGUUGCCUGGCUUUGGUGUGAUAAUUAUCUACGCCAUUGUAGUCAAGCAGCUUAAAAUGAGGUUUCAGCUUCUAACCGUCUCCCCUGAGACAACUUUUUGACAAUUUGACCUCAAAUCAGGUAGGACUAACCGCUGAACUUAAGCAUAUCAAUAAGCGGAGGA
RNAcentral lists this unclassified non-coding RNA (387 nucleotides) under soil metagenome. RNAcentral describes it as "partial contains 5.8S ribosomal RNA, internal transcribed spacer 2, and large subunit ribosomal RNA". The stretch from base 1 to 120 matches the Rfam family "5.8S ribosomal RNA", at positions 35 to 154 of the family's 154-position model. The record is from RNAcentral.